Molecule: ribosomal RNA, 453 nt
Filed under: uncultured bacterium
Lineage: Bacteria
Description: bacterial SSU rRNA
Rfam family: Bacterial small subunit ribosomal RNA
Source: RNAcentral
CAGCAGUAGGGAAUCUUCCACAAUGGGCGCAAGCCUGAUGGAGCAACACCGCGUGAGUGAAGAAGGGUUUCGGCUCGGUAAAGCUCUGUUGUUAAAGAAGAACACGUAUGAGAGUAACUGUUCAUAUGUUGACGGUAUUUAACCAGAAAGUCACGGCUAACUACGUGCCAGCAGCCGCGGUAAUACGUAGGUGGCAAGCGUUAUCCGGAUUUAUUGGGCGUAAAGAGAGUGCAGGCGGUUUUCUAAGUCUGAUGUGAAAGCCUUCGGCUUAACCGGAGAAGUGCAUCGGAAACUGGAUAACUUGAGUGCAGAAGAGGGUAGUGGAACUCCAUGUGUAGCGGUGGAAUGCGUAGAUAUAUGGAAGAACACCAGUGGCGAAGGCGGCUACCUGGUCUGCAACUGACGCUGAGACUCGAAAGCAUGGGUAGCGAACAGGAUUAGAUACCCUGGUAG